CCUACGGGAGGCAGCAGUAGGGAAUCUUCCACAAUGGGCGAAAGCCUGAUGGAGCAACGCCGCGUGGGUGAAGAAGGUCUUCGGAUCGUAAAGCUCUGUUGUUAGCGAAGAAAGUGCGUGAGAGUAACUGUUCACGUUUCGACGGUAUCUAACCAGAAAGCGACGGCUAACUACGUGCCAGCCGCCGCGGUAAUACGUAGGUGGCAAGCGUUAUCCGGAUUUAGUGGGCGUAAAGGGAACGCAGGCGGUCUUUUAAGUCUGAUGUGAAAGCCUUCGGCUUAACCGGAGUAGUGCAUUGGAAACUGGGAGACUUGAGUGCAGAAGAGGAGAGUGGAACUCCAUGUGUAGCGGUGAAAUGCGUAGAUAUAUGGAAGAACACCAGUGGCGAAGGCGGCUCUCUGGUCUGUAACUGACGCUGAGGUUCGAAAGCGUGGGGAGCAAACAGGAUUAGAUACCCUAGUAGUC
This 465-nucleotide ribosomal RNA is filed under the name uncultured bacterium. Its description in RNAcentral is "partial 16S ribosomal RNA". It matches the Rfam family "Bacterial small subunit ribosomal RNA", at positions 338 to 795 of the family's 1533-position model. The record is from RNAcentral.